This 330-nucleotide unclassified non-coding RNA is filed under the name soil metagenome. Its description in RNAcentral is "partial contains 5.8S ribosomal RNA, internal transcribed spacer 2, and large subunit ribosomal RNA". The stretch from base 1 to 120 matches the Rfam family "5.8S ribosomal RNA", at positions 35 to 154 of the family's 154-position model. The record is from RNAcentral.
GAUGAAGAACGCAUCGAAAUGCGAUAAGUAAUGUGAAUUGCAGAAUUCAGUGAAUCAUCGAAUCUUUGAACGCACAUUGCGCCCCUUGGUAUUCCGAGGGGCAUGCCUGUUCGAGCGUCAUUAUAACCCCUCAAGCUUAGCUUGGUGUUGGGGCCUGCUGUAAUAGAGCAGCCCUUAAAAUCAGUGGCGGUGCCAUUAGGCUCUAAGCGUAGUAAUUCUUCUCGCUAUAGGGUUCUGGUGGAUGCUUGCCAUUAACCUCUAAUUUUCUAUGGUUGACCUCGGAUCAGGUAGGGAUACCCGCUGAACUUAAGCAUAUCAAUAAGCGGAGGA